GAUGAAGAACGUAGUGAAAUGCGAUACGUAAUGUGAAUUGCAGAAUUCAGUGAAUCAUCGAGUCUUUGAACGCACAUUGCGCCCCCUGGUAUUCCGGGGGGCAUGUCUGUCCGAGCGUCAUUGCUGCCCUCAAGCACGGCUUGUGUGUUGGGCCUCCGUCCUCCUCCCGGGGGACGGGCCCGAAAGGCAGCGGCGGCACCGCGUCCGGUCCUCGAGCGUAUGGGGCUUCGUCACCCGCUCUUGCAGGCCCGGUCGGCGCUUGCCGACACAUCAAUCUUUUUUCCAGGUUGACCUCGGAUCAGGUAGGGAUACCCGCUGAACUUAAGCAUAUCAAUAAGCGGAGGA
This 345-nucleotide unclassified non-coding RNA is filed under the name soil metagenome. RNAcentral describes it as "partial contains 5.8S ribosomal RNA, internal transcribed spacer 2, and large subunit ribosomal RNA". The stretch from base 1 to 120 matches the Rfam family "5.8S ribosomal RNA", at positions 35 to 154 of the family's 154-position model. The record is from RNAcentral.